GCCACUUUUGCCCAACCAAAUUUAAAAAAGGGUUCUUUACAGAAAUAUAUAACAAUUAAAAAGUAAUUACAUCAUUAGUAUAUUAACAAAAUAAUUAUAAAAAGAGUGUAAUUAUGACCCAUAUUACAAAAAUAGUACAAUUCACAUUAAUAAGAAAACCUAGAAUCAAAGAGAAAUAACUGUCAUAAUUAAUAAUUUAAAUUCAAAUAUUUGGAAUCUAACAACAAAAAUAAAUUCAAAUUCAAAAUAAUAACAGUCGACAGCGACAACUAUUCUCCAAAACCCCAAAACUACAACUAUUUUGUAACAACAGUCGACAGCGAUGGAAGAUUACAAGGUCGCCACGACCACCAGUUCUUAAAACAACCACAUCGCUUCAGUUUUUUCUUCGUACUCUACCGAUUCGCCAUUAUCAUUUUCUCUCUCUUCCUCCUCCUCUUGUACCUUCUCUGCUCCAACCUCAUUUCUCUACUACAACCAUGUCCACGUUUAUACCAAGGUAACCAAUAAAAAAUAGAACACUGCAUAGGAAAGAGAGAGAUAAGAGAUUGAUGUGUAAUGUAAUAUUGAUAACCAAACCUUCGUACUAAGGUAACCAAACAUUUAUACCAAGGUAACCAAAUCUACCUCCACACCUGCAGUAUGAAUUUGUUACCUUGGUCUAAAAGUUUGGCAACUAAUUUCAUGAAGGUUUGGCUACCAAUUGCAUCACAUUAAAAAAAAAUUGGUAACUUAACAAAACUGAAUUGGUUACCUUGAAAUAAAUGUUUGGCUACCAACUGUACCAUGAAAAAACUACACCCAAACAAAUCAUUCGACUUGCUUUUUCUUGUUUAAUAGGUACUCAAAAUGGAG
RNAcentral lists this long non-coding RNA (855 nucleotides) under Panax ginseng (ginseng). Its description in RNAcentral is "long non-coding RNA (PGIN_LNC010544)". Lineage: Eukaryota; Viridiplantae; Streptophyta; Magnoliopsida; Apiales; Araliaceae. The record is from RNAcentral.